Molecule: ribosomal RNA, 497 nt
Filed under: uncultured bacterium
Lineage: Bacteria
Description: partial 16S ribosomal RNA
Rfam family: Bacterial small subunit ribosomal RNA
Source: RNAcentral
GAUGAACGCUGGCGGCGUGCCUAAUACAUGCAAGUCGAGCGAACAGACGAGGAGCUUGCUCCUCUGACGUUAGCGGCGGACGGGUGAGUAACACGUGGAUAACCUACCUAUAAGACUGGGAUAACUUCGGGAAACCGGAGCUAAUACCGGAUAAUAUAUUGAACCGCAUGGUUCAAUAGUGAAAGACGGUUUUGCUGUCACUUAUAGAUGGAUCCGCGCCGCAUUAGCUAGUUGGUAAGGUAACGGCUUACCAAGGCGACGAUGCGUAGCCGACCUGAGAGGGUGGUCGGCCAACCUGGGACUGGAGCACCGUUCCGGCCCCCAACGGAGGCCACCGUAGGGAAUCUUCCGCAAUGGGCGAAAGCUUGACGGAGCAACGCCGCGUGAGUGAUGAAGGUCUUCGGAUCGUAAAACUCUGUUAUUAGGGAAGAACAAAUGUGUAAGUAACUAUGCACGUCUUGACGGUACCUAAUCAGAAAGCCACGGCUAACUACGUG